CUAAAUAAGACCUUUCAUAUUGCAUAUGUUCAAGAAAAGAAGCCCAAAAUACAUCAUCAGAAGAUUGAUACAUAAUAAUCUAUUUUUUUUAGAUCCAAGAGCCAUUGCUCUUUGAAGGGUCAACUAAUCACUAUUUUCCCCAUUCUUUGUCUCCCUCAUAGGACAAUUAUGAUGUCGUACUUGGAAAAACCAGAGCCCUGCUAAAAUGGCAUAUGGCAUUUAACAAUAUAAAUCUCCAUUUUCAAUGCUUGCAUAAAUCUAAUGAUUUUUUUCUCUUGAGCAAAGAGUCUUUAAUGCCUUCCUGGUGUGUUUUGCAGAGCACUGGAUCAACAUCACACAUGGAAUAUAUUUGUAAAGAGACAGGCAGGAUUAUGUCAUACCCAGAAGGGAUAAUAAUCAGGUUUCACAAGCUCAGCAUCAAAUACAGGUCUUCCAUACCAGAGGCCACCUGCUCCAACAGAACAGCAGCCCUUUAUGAAUUAGACAUUCAACCACAUUCUUCAACGCUAAAGUGCCCUGCUUCCAUCUCUGCAAAAUGAACCUAGCACUUUCAACAAGUGUGGAUCCUCUGAGAAGUAGUUGCUGACGAUCUAUCUACUCAGAAGGGCUGUGAAGGUUUAUUGUGAAGUAAAAUUAAAAAAAAAAAAGAAAUUUGUUUAAAAAAAAAAAGAAGAAGAAGAAAGAAAAGUAGGUGAGGAGGAAUUAGCAGGAUUCUGCAGGAGAAAUGUUCAGUCCAAGGUUUGAACUUAUUAAAUUCUGUCAAUCCAACAGAGAAGUCUGAAAGAAAGGUUACUCAUUAGAAGAGUCCUUUGUUAAGCAGAAAUGACCCAACUUGUAUACCACAGUUUACUCAACUAUCUGCUGCAUCCAAAGAGUGGCCUUGGCUCAAAGUUUGUGAUGAAUGAGAAAGACCUGGUAAAUGGAAGCCAUCGUCUGAACCACGCUCUGCAGAGCUGGUCAAGGAUGCUGUCCUUGCAUCACCAUGGCACAUCCCUGUGAUGUGCAGCCACGCCUGACUCUGAGCGACUCUACAGACUGUAGCCCACUAGGCUUCUCUGUCCAUGGGGAUUUUCCAGGCAAGA
This 1082-nucleotide long non-coding RNA is filed under the name Capra hircus (goat). RNAcentral's name for it is "lncRNA (ENSCHIG00010001066.1)". The record is from RNAcentral. Lineage: Eukaryota; Metazoa; Chordata; Mammalia; Artiodactyla; Bovidae.